CGGGUCGAGAGGCGCUGCAACGGGCUGCUGGGACCACCACCCCAGCCCGCCACGCUCGACCCGUUUUCCGAUCCGCAACAAGGGCGCCUCCCACUU
This 96-nucleotide non-coding RNA is filed under the name Allokutzneria albata. RNAcentral describes it as "SAH sequence". It matches the Rfam family "SAH (S-adenosyl-L-homocysteine) riboswitch aptamer". The record is from Rfam by way of RNAcentral. Lineage: Bacteria; Bacillati; Actinomycetota; Actinomycetes; Pseudonocardiales; Pseudonocardiaceae.